UGGGAAUUUGGACAAUGGGCGAAAGCCUGAUCCAGCAAUGCCGCGUGUGUGAAGAAGGCCUUCGGGUUGUAAAGCACUUUUGUCCGGAAAGAAAUCCUUGGCUCUAAUACAGUCGGGGGAUGACGGUACCGGAAGAAUAAGCACCGGCUAACUACGUGCCAGCAGCCGCGGUAAUACGUAGGGUGCAAGCGUUAAUCGGAAUUACUGGGCGUAAAGCGUGCGCAGGCGGUUUGCUAAGACCGAUGUGAAAUCCCCGGGCUCAACCUGGGAACUGCAUUGGUGACUGGCAGGCUAGAGUAUGGCAGAGGGGGGUAGAAUUCCACGUGUAGCAGUGAAAUGCGUAGAGAUGUGGAGGAAUACCGAUGGCGAAGGCACGCCCCUGGGCCAAUACUGACGCUCAUGCACGAAAGCGUGGGGAGCAAACAGGAUUAGAUACCCUGGUAGUCCACGCCCUAAACGAUGUCAACUAGUUGUUGGGGAUUCAUUUCCUUAGUAACGUAGCUAACGCGUGAAGUUGACCGCCUGGGGAGUACGGUCGCAAGAUUAAAACUUAAAUGAAUUGACGGGGUCAUAGCUGUUUCCU
Molecule: ribosomal RNA, 583 nt
Filed under: uncultured bacterium
Lineage: Bacteria
Description: partial 16S ribosomal RNA
Rfam family: Bacterial small subunit ribosomal RNA
Source: RNAcentral